AGCACAGAUGGACCCACAUCUUCAAGCAGGGACACCAGAACUCUUUCCUGUCACCGAAGUGGAAGAGCUGAGAAUGAGAGCCAAGGCUGAUCCCCGUGGGUGCCAAACUUUGAUGUCCAUGGAAUCUGCGGCAUCCCCCAGUCUCCUAGCUGAAAAUAGGUGAGUGAUUAAGAGAGUGGAACUUUAAGAAUUAUUAGGUGUAUUUAUGGGAGCAUUUGGAAUACUCAGUUUAUCUCAAAUCACCAACUCUACCUAAUCUCCAAGCCUGCCCCUUCUUCCCACCUGAAAGCUAACCAGCCCAGAUAGAAGGGUUUUCAUGGCAAGAGAUCUGUUUCCCCACCUCUUAUUGUCCCUUGUCCUACAGUGAGAGUAGAAUCUCAGCUGAGCCUGGGCACCAGUUGCUGGGAGGUGAAGACUCACACACCAAAAUCAUUUCCAACUGGCUAAUGUAUGUCAGCAAAAUCCUCAACAGUAUGUGUGAAUAUGGGUUCUUGGAGUAUUUUAUAAAGUAGAAACCAUAUAAUUUUAAAUGAAUCUGAAUUUUUUAUUUGGAGUGUGCCCAAUUAAAGUUCUAUUUAAGAUACCAUAGCUGGAGCAGCUGGGAUAAACCUGUUUGCUCAGUUGGUGGACCUAAGCCUGGAUUCACAGGAGGCCAAUUCCAAAUGUAUUUGAGAUGCUCGGGAUUUCUUGCUGUAAUGUAGAAAGAAUCCGUGGGCUUCAGGGGGUAGGUAAGCUGGAGUGGAUUUACCACACGUGACUUGCCCUGGCUUGAACAACACAUAGGUGUGUGGAGGUUCUACAUUCUUGAAAAGAAUUCUGGUAGCUGUUCUCUGUAGACAGAGAUGCUGGCAGGAGGCAUGACAGUGGAAAUCGAGUGCCUGAUUUCAGUGGGGCUGGGAUGAUCCUAGGGUGUCAGAGGCCAAGCAGCGUGAUACUUUAGCUCGAAAUGAACUUUGGGUGUUACUUCAUGGUCUGUGCCACACAGGUCUCGGCUGUGGCUCAUCAGUGGUGAGGUUUUUAGGCCUGAGAAUGGGGAGCCCAUCCUGGUCCCCUUGAUGUGUAGAUCUGAGCUACUGCCGUGGCCAGCACAAUGCAGGUUCCUGGCCUCUGACCCAGUCCCCAGUUCUGAAUCUGCU
This 1136-nucleotide long non-coding RNA is filed under the name Callithrix jacchus (white-tufted-ear marmoset). RNAcentral describes it as "lncRNA (ENSCJAG00000071978.1)". Lineage: Eukaryota; Metazoa; Chordata; Mammalia; Primates; Cebidae. The record is from RNAcentral.